Molecule: ribosomal RNA, 2924 nt
Filed under: Escherichia coli 3.2608
Lineage: Bacteria; Pseudomonadati; Pseudomonadota; Gammaproteobacteria; Enterobacterales; Enterobacteriaceae
Description: bacterial LSU rRNA
Rfam family: Bacterial large subunit ribosomal RNA
Source: RNAcentral
GAAACAUCUUCGGGUUGUGAGGUUAAGCGACUAAGCGUACACGGUGGAUGCCCUGGCAGUCAGAGGCGAUGAAGGACGUGCUAAUCUGCGAUAAGCGUCGGUAAGGUGAUAUGAACCGUUAUAACCGGCGAUUUCCGAAUGGGGAAACCCAGUGUGAUUCGUCACACUAUCAUUAACUGAAUCCAUAGGUUAAUGAGGCGAACCGGGGGAACUGAAACAUCUAAGUACCCCGAGGAAAAGAAAUCAACCGAGAUUCCCCCAGUAGCGGCGAGCGAACGGGGAGCAGCCCAGAGCCUGAAUCAGUGUGUGUGUUAGUGGAAGCGUCUGGAAAGGCGCGCGAUACAGGGUGACAGCCCCGUACACAAAAAUGCACAUACUGUGAGCUCGAUGAGUAGGGCGGGACACGUGGUAUCCUGUCUGAAUAUGGGGGGACCAUCCUCCAAGGCUAAAUACUCCUGACUGACCGAUAGUGAACCAGUACCGUGAGGGAAAGGCGAAAAGAACCCCGGCGAGGGGAGUGAAAAAGAACCUGAAACCGUGUACGUACAAGCAGUGGGAGCACGCUUAGGCGUGUGACUGCGUACCUUUUGUAUAAUGGGUCAGCGACUUAUAUUCUGUAGCAAGGUUAACCGAAUAGGGGAGCCGAAGGGAAACCGAGUCUUAACUGGGCGUUAAGUUGCAGGGUAUAGACCCGAAACCCGGUGAUCUAGCCAUGGGCAGGUUGAAGGUUGGGUAACACUAACUGGAGGACCGAACCGACUAAUGUUGAAAAAUUAGCGGAUGACUUGUGGCUGGGGGUGAAAGGCCAAUCAAACCGGGAGAUAGCUGGUUCUCCCCGAAAGCUAUUUAGGUAGCGCCUCGUGAAUUCAUCUCCGGGGGUAGAGCACUGUUUCGGCAAGGGGGUCAUCCCGACUUACCAACCCGAUGCAAACUGCGAAUACCGGAGAAUGUUAUCACGGGAGACACACGGCGGGUGCUAACGUCCGUCGUGAAGAGGGAAACAACCCAGACCGCCAGCUAAGGUCCCAAAGUCAUGGUUAAGUGGGAAACGAUGUGGGAAGGCCCAGACAGCCAGGAUGUUGGCUUAGAAGCAGCCAUCAUUUAAAGAAAGCGUAAUAGCUCACUGGUCGAGUCGGCCUGCGCGGAAGAUGUAACGGGGCUAAACCAUGCACCGAAGCUGCGGCAGCGACGCUGAUGCGUUGUUGGGUAGGGGAGCGUUCUGUAAGCCUGUGAAGGUGUGCUGUGAGGCAUGCUGGAGGUAUCAGAAGUGCGAAUGCUGACAUAAGUAACGAUAAAGCGGGUGAAAAGCCCGCUCGCCGGAAGACCAAGGGUUCCUGUCCAACGUUAAUCGGGGCAGGGUGAGUCGACCCCUAAGGCGAGGCCGAAAGGCGUAGUCGAUGGGAAACAGGUUAAUAUUCCUGUACUUGGUGUUACUGCGAAGGGGGGACGGAGAAGGCUAUGUUGGCCGGGCGACGGUUGUCCCGGUUUAAGCGUGUAGGCUGGUUUUCCAGGCAAAUCCGGAAAAUCAAGGCUGAGGCGUGAUGACGAGGCACUACGGUGCUGAAGCAACAAAUGCCCUGCUUCCAGGAAAAGCCUCUAAGCAUCAGGUAACAUCAAAUCGUACCCCAAACCGACACAGGUGGUCAGGUAGAGAAUACCAAGGCGCUUGAGAGAACUCGGGUGAAGGAACUAGGCAAAAUGGUGCCGUAACUUCGGGAGAAGGCACGCUGAUAUGUAGGUGAAGCGACUUGCUCGUGGAGCUGAAAUCAGUCGAAGAUACCAGCUGGCUGCAACUGUUUAUUAAAAACACAGCACUGUGCAAACACGAAAGUGGACGUAUACGGUGUGACGCCUGCCCGGUGCCGGAAGGUUAAUUGAUGGGGUCAGCGCAAGCGAAGCUCUUGAUCGAAGCCCCGGUAAACGGCGGCCGUAACUAUAACGGUCCUAAGGUAGCGAAAUUCCUUGUCGGGUAAGUUCCGACCUGCACGAAUGGCGUAAUGAUGGCCAGGCUGUCUCCACCCGAGACUCAGUGAAAUUGAACUCGCUGUGAAGAUGCAGUGUACCCGCGGCAAGACGGAAAGACCCCGUGAACCUUUACUAUAGCUUGACACUGAACAUUGAGCCUUGAUGUGUAGGAUAGGUGGGAGGCUUUGAAGUGUGGACGCCAGUCUGCAUGGAGCCGGCCUUGAAAUACCACCCUUUAAUGUUUGAUGUUCUAACGUUGACCCGUGAUCCGGGUUGCGGACAGUGUCUGGUGGGUAGUUUGACUGGGGCGGUCUCCUCCUAAAGAGUAACGGAGGAGCACGAAGGUUGGCUAAUCCUGGUCGGACAUCAGGAGGUUAGUGCAAUGGCAUAAGCCAGCUUGACUGCGAGCGUGACGGCGCGAGCAGGUGCGAAAGCAGGUCAUAGUGAUCCGGUGGUUCUGAAUGGAAGGGCCAUCGCUCAACGGAUAAAAGGUACUCCGGGGAUAACAGGCUGAUACCGCCCAAGAGUUCAUAUCGACGGCGGUGUUUGGCACCUCGAUGUCGGCUCAUCACAUCCUGGGGCUGAAGUAGGUCCCAAGGGUAUGGCUGUUCGCCAUUUAAAGUGGUACGCGAGCUGGGUUUAGAACGUCGUGAGACAGUUCGGUCCCUAUCUGCCGUGGGCGCUGGAGAACUGAGGGGGGCUGCUCCUAGUACGAGAGGACCGGAGUGGACGCAUCACUGGUGUUCGGGUUGUCAUGCCAAUGGCACUGCCCGGUAGCUAAAUGCGGAAGAGAUAAGUGCUGAAAGCAUCUAAGCACGAAACUUGCCCCGAGAUGAGUUCUCCCUGACUCCUUGAGAGUCCUGAAGGAACGUUGAAGACGACGACGUUGAUAGGCCGGGUGUGUAAGCGCAGCGAUGCGUUGAGCUAACCGGUACUAAUGAACCGUGAGGCUUAACCUU